AAACUUUCAACAACGGAUCUCUUGGUUCUGGCAUCGAUGAAGAACGCAGCGAAAUGCGAUAAGUAAUGUGAAUUGCAGAAUUUAGUGAAUCAUCGAAUCUUUGAACGCACAUUGCGCCCCUUGGUAUUCCGGGGGGCAUGCCUGUUCGAGCGUCAUUA
RNAcentral lists this ribosomal RNA (158 nucleotides) under Cladonia innominata. Its description in RNAcentral is "5.8S ribosomal RNA". It matches the Rfam family "5.8S ribosomal RNA". Rfam says of the family: 5.8S ribosomal RNA (5.8S rRNA) is a component of the large subunit of the eukaryotic ribosome. The record is from RNAcentral. RNAcentral also lists the same sequence under 1 other name. Lineage: Eukaryota; Fungi; Ascomycota; Lecanoromycetes; Lecanorales; Cladoniaceae.